RNAcentral lists this transfer RNA (66 nucleotides) under Melanoplus differentialis (differential grasshopper). Its description in RNAcentral is "tRNA-Ala". RNAcentral also lists the same sequence under 2 other names. Lineage: Eukaryota; Metazoa; Arthropoda; Insecta; Orthoptera; Acrididae. The record is from RNAcentral.
AGGGUUAUAGUUAAUUAUAACAUUUGGGUUGCAUUCAAAAAGUAUUGAUUUUAUCAAUUAACCUUA